UGAUCCAUGGCUGUUGAGAGGAAUGACGUCCGGUCUGAAGAUCGCCGUCCCCAGGCGGUGGCUUCGGACCAGGCUUCAUUCCCCAUGACUCAUGGAACCC
RNAcentral lists this non-coding RNA (100 nucleotides) under Oryza sativa (Asian cultivated rice). Its record names the gene osa-MIR166j. Lineage: Eukaryota; Viridiplantae; Streptophyta; Magnoliopsida; Poales; Poaceae. RNAcentral also lists the same sequence under 2 other names. The record is from miRBase by way of RNAcentral.